RNAcentral lists this ribosomal RNA (439 nucleotides) under uncultured bacterium. Its description in RNAcentral is "bacterial SSU rRNA". It matches the Rfam family "Bacterial small subunit ribosomal RNA", at positions 352 to 782 of the family's 1533-position model. The record is from RNAcentral.
CAGUAGGGAAUUUUCCACAAUGGGCGAAAGCCUGAUGGAGCAACGCCGCGUGAGGGAUGAAUCAUUUCGGUGUGUAAACCUCUUUGGAGCGGGAAGAAUGUCGUUUGGGUGAAUAAUCCAGACGGGUGACGGUACCGCUAGAACAAGACACGGCUAACUUCGUGCCAGCAGCCGCGGUAAUACGAAGGUGUCAAACGUUGUCCGGAAUAACUGGGCGUAAAGGGCGCGUAGGCGGUUUGAAAAGUCAGAUGUGAAAGCUCUGGGCUCAACCCAGGAAUUGCAUUUGAAACUCUCAGACUUGAGUUCGGUAGAGGAGGGCGGAAUUCCAGGUGUAGCGGUGAAAUGCGUUGAUAUCUGGAGGAACACCCGUGGCGAAGGCGGCUCUCUGGUCCGAUACUGACGCUGAGGCGCGAAAGGUAGGGUAGCAAACAGGAUUAGA